This 623-nucleotide unclassified non-coding RNA is filed under the name Hevea brasiliensis (rubber tree). The record is from RNAcentral. Lineage: Eukaryota; Viridiplantae; Streptophyta; Magnoliopsida; Malpighiales; Euphorbiaceae.
AAUAACAGUUUGCUUCAGUAUUAAUAAAAUGUAGUGUCAAAUGUUAAUCUCCUUUCUUCAAAAAUAAUAAACCAAGAGGCUGGAGAAUGAAGUUAAGCAAAGAAUUUGCUAGGACUCUUUUCAAAGUCUAUUCAGGGGGAUCAAUAUGAAACUAUUCAGCUAUCUAGAACCACAUCCAACUUGAAAAUAACACUAAAAUUUGUGUAGCAAUUCCAAUUCCAUGCUUUUACUAACAUAAACAAAAUAGCCCUGAUAUUUUUCUCAUGGAUCAUACUUAAGCUGGACUAAACACUUAAACUCCCACAUUUCACUGGCAUGCUGAUGGUUUCAGUUGUCCAUGUAUUCUAAUUGGUCAUGAAUUUGCCUCCGCAGCUAUAUCAUUAAAAGACACCAACUAAAGCAAAUACCUUUCUAUCCACAGACCACAAGUAACUGUUAAUUAUAGAACCUUCGAAUGAGAAUUAUCCACCGCGGAGAAUAACUCUUAACUCUAAUUCAAAUCGAAGUAAGUGAAUCAGUGGUCAGCGCUUUUCAAAUGGCUUAGCUAUAAAUGCAAAAAUCUUUCGAUGGGCAACAAAGGAGGAUGAUGUUCUAUUGUUUUGGCUCUCUCACAUGGCAAAACU